AACCACAGCCCAUCACCAGACCUAAAUCAAAGCAGGAAAGCCGGAACAUCCAAUGUUUGGUGAAGGCGUACCCAAAAUUCCCACUAAGCAUAUUGGAAUACAUCGCGGAAUAUUGGCAGCACCUCAAAGGCUCCCAUGGUCUGGGUAAAAGGAUCGAAAAUCAAAGAUCCAAAGUGGGUAGAAUCAUGGCUUUCCUUUCGUUUAUAACCGAGGGCCAGACAAUCCUCCAGAAUUGGACUUUCCUUCCCAAUAUGUCCAGGAUAUACCAAGCAUCUGCAGAAUGGUGGAAAAGCGGAGAACACAGUGAAGACCUACCUGGUGAAUUUGUCACAGUUCCUGGGCUACUUCAGGGACACUCCUCCAACUUCGUCAAGAGUUCCAAAAAGAGAAGUGUUUGCCGUGAUUCGUGCUAUCUCAGAGUGUAUUGCAAGCCUGGGUCCACGUGUUGUCAUGCGUCAGAUACGUGUAAAGAAAAAUAAGUUGAGCAGAACCAUCUCCAAGGACCAACUUCGCCUCUGCAAAGUCCUGGCCAG
Long non-coding RNA from Fundulus heteroclitus (mummichog), 533 nucleotides. RefSeq lists it as uncharacterized. NCBI's taxonomy places the organism in Eukaryota, Metazoa, Chordata, Actinopteri, Cyprinodontiformes, Fundulidae. The record is from RefSeq and is a predicted model, not a curated record. The transcript has 3 exons.